RNAcentral lists this ribosomal RNA (279 nucleotides) under uncultured bacterium. RNAcentral describes it as "partial 16S ribosomal RNA". It matches the Rfam family "Bacterial small subunit ribosomal RNA", at positions 506 to 784 of the family's 1533-position model. The record is from RNAcentral.
UGCCAGCCGCCGCGGUAAUACAGAGGGUGCAAGCGUUAAUCAGAAUUACUGGGCGUAAAGGGUGUGUAGGUGGUUAGGUAAGUUAGGUGUGAAACCCCUGGGCUCAACCUGGGACUUGCAUUUAAAACUGCUUAGCUAGAGUAUUGUAGAGGGUUGUGGAAUUUCCGGUGUAGCGGUGAAAUGCGUAGAUAUCGGAAGGAACACCAGUGGCGAAGGCGACAACCUGGACAGAUACUGACACUGAGACACGAAAGCAUGGGGAGCAAACAGGAUUAGAUA